RNAcentral lists this ribosomal RNA (529 nucleotides) under Escherichia coli. RNAcentral's name for it is "partial 23S ribosomal RNA". It matches the Rfam family "Bacterial large subunit ribosomal RNA", at positions 911 to 1436 of the family's 2925-position model. The record is from RNAcentral. Lineage: Bacteria; Pseudomonadati; Pseudomonadota; Gammaproteobacteria; Enterobacterales; Enterobacteriaceae.
UGUUUCGGCAAGGGGGUCAUCCCGACUUACCAACCCGAUGCAAACUGCGAAUACCGGAGAAUGUUAUCACGGGAGACACACGGCGGGUGCUAACGUCCGUCGUGAAGAGGGAAACAACCCAGACCGCCAGCUAAGGUCCCAAAGUCAUGGUUAAGUGGGAAACGAUGUGGGAAGGCCCAGACAGCCAGGAUGUUGGCUUAGAAGCAGCCAUCAUUUAAAGAAAGCGUAAUAGCUCACUGGUCGAGUCGGCCUGCGCGGAAGAUGUAACGGGGCUAAACCAUGCACCGAAGCUGCGGCAGCGACGCUUAUGCGUUGUUGGGUAGGGGAGCGUUCUGUAAGCCUGUGAAGGUGUGCUGUGAGGCAUGCUGGAGGUAUCAGAAGUGCGAAUGCUGACAUAAGUAACGAUAAAGCGGGUGAAAAGCCCGCUCGCCGGAAGACCAAGGGUUCCUGUCCAACGUUAAUCGGGGCAGGGUGAGUCGACCCCUAAGGCGAGGCCGAAAGGCGUAGUCGAUGGGAAACAGGUUAAUAU